RNAcentral lists this transfer RNA (69 nucleotides) under Scytalopus superciliaris. Its description in RNAcentral is "tRNA-Asp". The record is from RNAcentral. Lineage: Eukaryota; Metazoa; Chordata; Aves; Passeriformes; Rhinocryptidae.
GGGUCGUUAGUAAAACCAUUACAUAGCCUUGUCAAGACUAAAUCGCAGGUGAAAACCCAGCACAACCCA